UGACGUGUGGUCCUCAGGUAGCUCCA
Molecule: non-coding RNA, 26 nt
Filed under: Homo sapiens (human)
Lineage: Eukaryota; Metazoa; Chordata; Mammalia; Primates; Hominidae
Source: RNAcentral